UACGUAGGGUGCAAGCGUUAAUCGGAAUUACUGGGCGUAAAGCGUGCGCAGGCGGUUUUGUAAGUCUGUCGUGAAAUCCCCGGGCUUAACCUGGGAAUGGCGAUGGAGACUGCAAGGCUAGAGUUUGGCAGAGGGGGGUAGAAUUCCACGUGUAGCAGUGAAAUGCGUAGAGAUGUGGAGGAACACCAAUGGCGAAGGCAGCCUUCUGGGCCAACACUGACGCUCAUGCACGAAAGCGUGGGGAGCAAACAGG
RNAcentral lists this ribosomal RNA (253 nucleotides) under uncultured bacterium. Its description in RNAcentral is "partial 16S ribosomal RNA". It matches the Rfam family "Bacterial small subunit ribosomal RNA", at positions 524 to 776 of the family's 1533-position model. The record is from RNAcentral.